RNAcentral lists this ribosomal RNA (515 nucleotides) under uncultured bacterium. Its description in RNAcentral is "partial 16S ribosomal RNA". It matches the Rfam family "Bacterial small subunit ribosomal RNA", at positions 28 to 523 of the family's 1533-position model. The record is from RNAcentral.
GAUGAACGCUGGCGGCGUGCCUAAUACAUGCAAGUCGAGCGAACGGAUUAAGAGCUUGCUCUUAUGAAGUUAGCGGCGGACGGGUGAGUAACACGUGGGUAACCUGCCCAUAAGACUGGGAUAACUCCGGGAAACCGGGGCUAAUACCGGAUAACAUUUUGAACCGCAUGGUUCGAAAUUGAAAGGCGGCUUCGGCUGUCACUUAUGGAUGGACCCGGGUCGCAUUAGCUAGUUGGUGAGGUAACGGCUCACCAAGGCAACGAUGCGUAGCCGACCUGAGAGGGUGAUCGGCCAAACUGGGACUGAGACACGGCCCAGACUCCUACGGGAGGCAGCAGUAGGGAAUCUUCCGCAAUGGACGAAAGUCUGACGGAGCAACGCCGCGUGAGUGAUGAAGGCUUUCGGGUCGUAAAACUCUGUUGUUAGGGAAGAACAAGUGCUAGUUGAAUAAGCUGGCACCUUGACGGUACCUAACCAGAAAGCCACGGCUAACUACGUGCCAGCCGCCGCAGUAA